This is an RNA transcript of Drosophila subobscura, 1686 nucleotides long. RefSeq lists it as uncharacterized. The record is from RefSeq and is a predicted model, not a curated record. NCBI's taxonomy places the organism in Eukaryota, Metazoa, Arthropoda, Insecta, Diptera, Drosophilidae. The transcript has 6 exons.
UGAAUGUGUUGUGGAGAAUGUUCUCACAAGGAAUGAGAGAUCGAAUGUGUAUCGGAAAGCAAACUUUGGGUAAAUGACAACCACUGACAGAGACAGCAACAAACAUUACCCAAAAACGAGAACUCGAACCGAAUCCAUAGAAACCCAAACAGAAAAAUAUAUAGAGACAUUAUGUCCACCAUGUUGAGUCGCGGUGCAAAGCCUUUGCAGGCCCAAGUGGGUUUUAAACAUGCAUUUCCACCGGAGGGUUUCUUUCCACUGCCGCCGGCGGAGUCGCAUCUCUGCCGCGAUGCGUAUCUCAAGGCGCUGCUGGCUCCCUUUGAGAGUGUUUCCGACGAUGGAAGCGAAGAGCCGGAAGACGAUGGGCUGCCAAAAAAGGAUUUGUUCGCUACGAAAAAAUUCGACAUCGAGUUCAUGAUGAUCAGUAGACGACGCACCACAAUGUGGAAGCCCACGAAGUAUCGUCCGUCGGCCAUUAAUGUGAACUUGAGAGCCUCCGCCUACGAUCUAAGUGCACUGGUCAAGGCCCGCUACGUGAGGCUGUUGGAGGGAUUUGGCAUUUCCUGCAUCCACUAUCUGCUGGAGAAGAUCAUCAAGAAGAUGGAGAUCAUGCGCACCGUUCCACCCGAGGGCACCGAUCCAAAGAAAACCAUUUUCGGCUGGUCCUGUCAUGAGUAUUACGAACGUUUCAAGAAACAUAGCGAUACGAUUUACUUGGAUACCUUUUUGUUCGACAAAACCGCAGCGGAGCUGCAGGACCUCAAAUAUUAUGUCGAUCUGGAGGAGAUUGUCCGUCUAAUGAGAUCGUUGAAGAACGAUUUGACAGAGGAUAAUGAUUUGUGUCAGGGUUUUAUGGCUUUGUUGCGAGACAUUCAGGUUGAUAUCAUGGAGGUUCUGGCCAAGCCCUAUGAGGACAUGUACACCGAGCACGAUAAUCUCUCCACGCAAUUGUUUACGGCCAGACAGGGCAAGUCUCACGAUCCGAAAAUGAUUUCCAAACAUCGUGCACUGAAAAAGGAGCAACAGUACCUUAUGGAUUACAAAGCUCCCAUUGAGACACGCUAUCAGAUUAAUUGGAUCCGCGAUAAGUUGGAGCAGAAAGAUUUCGAAGAUGCAAGUCAAGUAAAGAUAAUCCAAGAUGAACUCGACAAACUGAAAGAGCUGACUGCCACGGAUACAGCAGUGUGGAAUGCUGCAAACCGUAAGUACUCGUCCCUGAUUGAAGAGUACACGAAUCGCAUAAAUUCUACGCAAGAGUCCUACGACGAGGACAUGGAGACUGCCGAAAAUAACGUACAGAUGACACUGAACAAGCUGAACAAGUGCAAGGACGAUCUGAGGAGCUAUCAGGAGCAGGUGGAAAUUUUUCAUAUGAAAAUCGCAGCGACGCGCGCAAAAAUAGCCAAAGAAGAGGCGCAAGAGCUGGAGAAACUAAGAAUACUGGAGGAAAAACAAGCGAGAAAAAGUGAACUAAAGGAAAAAGCCAAAGGCAAGGCCAAGAAAGAAAAGAAGAAAAAGUAAACAACAAUAAAGGAAAAGAUCUCGGAUAAGAUAUAGACAGAGCCAAAGCAGGGAUUGAAACGAAAAAGAGUUCUAGGCAACUUUGUUUGCAGCAGAGAAAAUGUUCCGUCAAAAAGUUCUAAAAGAUAAAAAAAUGCAGUUAAUAUUUGGAAAGAUCUCUCAAGC